Molecule: unclassified non-coding RNA, 325 nt
Filed under: Hevea brasiliensis (rubber tree)
Lineage: Eukaryota; Viridiplantae; Streptophyta; Magnoliopsida; Malpighiales; Euphorbiaceae
Source: RNAcentral
AAAAAAAAAAAAAACUCAAUUUUCAUAUUGCAAGUUGAUAAAAAAAAUAUCAGCAUAAAAAUAAGUAAAUAAAGGGUUAUGGGUGUAACGCAAUUUUUCUUUUAUUUGUAGAAAAUUCAAUUAUUCUAUGCACAUUAGUAGUAUUGUAUCUCUUGGAAAAGAUCCAUCAUGCCUCCAGGAAUCCAAGUCCUUUUCUGUUUUGUACAUACAGAAUGACAUUUGCAGGAAGUAAAGUAUUAUUAAUUGUUGAUGAACAAUGUACCCUCUAAUUUGUCAGCUAAUUCUGAUACCCUGAAGUGAUAGAUUUGGAUGUUCUCAACAUCAA